UGCCAGCAGCCGCGGUAAUACGUAGGAUGCAAGCGUUAAUCGGAAUUACUGGGCGUAAAGCGCUCGUAGGCGGUUGAUUAAGUCGGAUGUGAAAGCCCAGGGCUUAACCUUGGAACUGCAUUCGAUACUGGUCAGCUAGAGUACAGUAGAGGCAAGUGGAAUUUCCUGUGUAGCGGUGAAAUGCGUAGAUAUAGGAAGGAACAUCAGUGGCGAAGGCGACUUGCUGGACUGAUACUGACGCUGAUGCACGAAAGCGUGGGUAGCAAACAGGAUUAGAUA
RNAcentral lists this ribosomal RNA (279 nucleotides) under uncultured bacterium. RNAcentral's name for it is "partial 16S ribosomal RNA". It matches the Rfam family "Bacterial small subunit ribosomal RNA", at positions 506 to 784 of the family's 1533-position model. The record is from RNAcentral.